CAUUAAGAAGCUAAACUAGCGUUAACCUUUUAAGUUAAAGACUGAGAACUAUGCACUCUCCUUAAUGA
This 68-nucleotide transfer RNA is filed under the name Delphinapterus leucas (beluga whale). Its description in RNAcentral is "tRNA (ENSDLEG00000000021.1)". Lineage: Eukaryota; Metazoa; Chordata; Mammalia; Artiodactyla; Monodontidae. The record is from RNAcentral.